GUGCUGGGCUGAGUAAAUUACAGCAGACUGGGGAAGAGAGCAAGGCAAUAAAUGCCCAGUCAGCAGGUGGUGGAGAGUAUCAGCUGGGUGCUGUCCUCUUUAGCUGCUUGGGGGCUGGUGCUGCUCCUCCCUUGCUCCUGCAGACAAUAUUUCCUGCUUUGCUUCCCUGCUGAAAGUCCUUCCUCAUUCCAGGAACAGCAGUGCUGGAGGAGCUUGUAUGUUUUUGAGCUAUCCAGGAGGCCUUCCAAAGUGAUGGGGAGAGACAAGGACAAAAACCCUUCUUGGGACAGAAACUCUGUUACCUCGGUGUUUAUUUAAGAUCCUAAGGUAAUUCAGGAUGGAAGGGCCCCCUAAUGCUCUUUGAUCCAGAGCAAUGUGACAGCAGGCUGCUGUGGGCUUAGUCUGGCCUGGCCCUGAAAGCCCCUGAGGACAGAGGGCACAGCCUCGCUCCCCAGGUAGCUGCUCCACUGCCUGACUCUUCCCACCAUGAUCAUGUCUUUCCUUCUGUCCAGCCUGAACCCCUCUCCUUGCAGUUUAUGCCUGGUGACUUUUGCCUUCCCACCAUGGACCCCUGUGCAGAGCCUGGCUCCAUCCUGCAGACCUCUGCUGAACUCGCUCCAGCUGCCAUUCCCAGAGCAGGGGGCCCAGAGCUGGACACGGCACCUGGAUGUGAUCCAGUAAGUGCUUAGCCUGGGACAGCGAUGCUUUCCUCCAUCAGCAGCUCACAGGGUGAUACAGCCGGGACGCUGCUGGCUUCUGCCUGGCAGCACCUCCAGAGCUCCACCACAAAGCCCCUCAGCUGCCACCCCAUAACCACGCAAGGGCUCUAGCUAACCCCAAAACGUAACUCCGAAUCCUAACCCGUAAAAUGAAAAGAAAAAAAGGUGACAGAGUCGCUGUCCCCGGAGGUGUUUCAGGAAAGCCUGGACGGGGCACUCGGUGCCAAGGUCCAGCAGACACGGAGGUGCUCGGUCACAGGCUGGACUCGGUGCUCCCGGAGGCCUUUCCAACCUGACUGAUUCUGUGAUCCGGUGAUUUUAAAACCCCGCCAGGCACUGCUCAGCUCUGGAACAGUCCUCUGUGCUGAAAGCGCGUUAAUUCCUUGCCACAGCCCCCAGUACA
Molecule: long non-coding RNA, 1122 nt
Organism: Zonotrichia leucophrys gambelii
Lineage: Eukaryota; Metazoa; Chordata; Aves; Passeriformes; Passerellidae
Exons: 2
Source: RefSeq, a predicted model, not a curated record